This is a long non-coding RNA of Dreissena polymorpha, 335 nucleotides long. RefSeq lists it as uncharacterized. Lineage: Eukaryota; Metazoa; Mollusca; Bivalvia; Myida; Dreissenidae. The record is from RefSeq and is a predicted model, not a curated record. The transcript is spliced from 3 exons.
GAACUGUCGUCCAAUUGGUUUGCAAGUCCGGUUUAAGUGACAGGCCAUCAAAAAACUGUACAGCAUGACUGAUUCGGAGACGGCCCUCAACACUCGCCCAGUCGUGUCGAGAGGAUCGGUGUCUUUGCAGAUUACCCGGAAUUGAGCACCCGGACCAGACUGACACUUUCCGGAGCCUGUCCGAGACGGAACUCGAGCCGAGGAAUCAUAGGUUCAGGCGGUGUCGAAAUGGGUCUAUAGCUCUGCCUGAACUGUCGUUUAAAUGGUUUACAAUUCCGGCUGAAGUGACAGGCCAUCAAAAACUGUACAGCAUGACGUCGCUGUCGUUCUCAAAC